Long non-coding RNA from Styela clava, 726 nucleotides. RefSeq lists it as uncharacterized. The record is from RefSeq and is a predicted model, not a curated record. NCBI's taxonomy places the organism in Eukaryota, Metazoa, Chordata, Ascidiacea, Stolidobranchia, Styelidae.
UGGAGAGGCCGUACGAUUACAUCUCUCUUGGCGAUUUUUCUCGAAAACAAAUUCGUCAAGAUGAAGGAAUAGGCGAGCUGCCAAUGUUUGAAUGUGGUAAAGAAGGUCAUGGCCAUAGAUAAACAAGUCACACAAACGUCCACGUGAGGCGAGAAUAGGCUAGACGAAUAGGAAAAAUUUAUUCUUCAUCUCUGCAACGGCACUUGUCAAAACAAUAAAGAGAUUUCCGAAUAUGUGCCGGUGUUGCGUGAAAUAUGAAGCCACUGGUCAGCCGUCGACUAGAAUUACAAAACUGCAAGAUCACUUUGAGCUUUCAAAAUUCAACUUUUCACUCAAAUAAAUUAGAUUGGAUUCUACCACCUAUCAGAAACUGUCUGUGUUUAAAAAUAAGUGAAUAUAAUCUGAAUUUCUAUCUCUCUCUCUCCAAUUCCUAAUUACCCCUACUUAUACAGAAAUCUAUUGUAAACAAUCAAAUAUAAAAACAGAUUAGGGAUUGCAUUGUCAUGAAAUGUCAUGGGAAUUAGUAAGCCAAUAAGUAUUGAACUAAUUGGCCCCUAAGGUGGAAAUUACCAUAUUUUUAUACAAGAAGCUGAAUGGAAUCUAUUGCUUUAAUAAAUUUCAAAAUUGAAUCACUGUUCAAUCUAAUUUUCAUAAUUCAUUUCAUCUAACCUCAAAAUUGACUUAAUGCUGAGAUAAAUUGUAUAUAAAUCUGUCUGUAUGUCUACA